Long non-coding RNA from Sinocyclocheilus anshuiensis, 620 nucleotides. RefSeq lists it as uncharacterized. The record is from RefSeq and is a predicted model, not a curated record. Lineage: Eukaryota; Metazoa; Chordata; Actinopteri; Cypriniformes; Cyprinidae. The transcript is spliced from 2 exons.
AAUCAUAUAAUCAGGCACUGCCAUAUUUUGCUGUGAUGCUGUCACGGCUCUAGCACUUGAUUUUAUUCUUAUUUUCUUGUAGAAGUAGGCUUUGAGAACAAACACAAUCAUUCCUGCUCCAAAAACACGGACGACUGCUGAUGGAAGAGUGAGACGCUUGAGAGCAGACGGAUGCAGUGAGCAGCAGGUGGCAGCAGACGCUGGUCAAACUGCUGUGGAGAGCAUGAAGGACAGCAUCAGCUGCAGCACAAUAUAAAGAGAUCUCAUCCACUCAACCGGGGUAAAUAAGAGCCCUACAGCCCCCUUAAUCACGAGAUGUACAGUUCCUCAGAUGGCCAGACCUGAACUUUAACUGAACUUCUGAGAAAUCCAGCAGCUCGUGGCAUUCUGGGAAAUUAAGUGUUCAUCAGCAUGUCAAUAUAAACCCUCUGUCUGUCUGUAAGCCCAAGAAAGGACCACAAACUUUCGUUAAAUGUUCAAACAAGGCUAUCAUUUUUGACAUGCUUCUUUUUACAAAAAAAAAAUCGCUUAUUAAUGUUACUUAUAAGAUAUCAAUUAUUCUACUUGGUUUGAAUUUCAGUUUUAGUUCCUCAGUUCAGGACUUCAGGACUAGUCAUUAA